This 216-nucleotide long non-coding RNA is filed under the name Homo sapiens (human). RNAcentral describes it as "HSALNT0119673". Lineage: Eukaryota; Metazoa; Chordata; Mammalia; Primates; Hominidae. The record is from RNAcentral.
CUGUGCGGCACUCGGUCUUUGUAGUUGGAAAUGCAGGCACAGGAAAGAGUAAGAUUUUGAGAACACUGAACCGAACAUAUGUUAACAUGAAACAGAAGCCGGUUUGGAAUGACUUAAACCCUAAAGCUGUGACAACAGAUGAACUCUUUGGUUUCAUACAUCAUGCUACCCGAGAAUGGAAAGAUGGUCUCUUCUCAUCCAUUCUACGAGAACAAG